RNAcentral lists this long non-coding RNA (4196 nucleotides) under Canis lupus familiaris (dog). RNAcentral describes it as "lncRNA (ENSCAFG00000052467.1)". The record is from RNAcentral. Lineage: Eukaryota; Metazoa; Chordata; Mammalia; Carnivora; Canidae.
GAUUUUAUUUAUUCAUGAGAGACACAGAGAGAGGCAGAGACAUACACUGAGGGAGAAGCAGGCUCCUCACAGGGAGCCCAAUGUGGGACUCGGUCCCAGGACCCCAGGAUCAUGACCUCAGCCAAAGACAGACAGUCAACCACUGAACCACCCAGGCGUCCCUGAUUUCAUUUUUAUAACUUCAUCAUUUUGCUCAUUGUUUGUGUGAUAUAGAUGCCUAAAGAAGUUAGUUGAUUAUUGAUAAUUCUUUCUGUUUCCCAUAUCUAUAAAUGCUCCCAUUGUGGGGAGGGGAGGUGUGUGUGCUCAUAUGUGGGUGCGUGCACAUGCAUGUAUGUGUGUGAUUUACCUCCCCUGAUGCCAUUUUAUUUCUUUUCUUUCUUUUAUAAGCAACUUUCAUCAUAUAGCGGUCUACACUUAGUCUCUAUUUCUCCUAAGCUAUCUUUUAGGAUCCAGAUAUGUGUCUUCUAAUCUGACUUCUGUCUAUAUUAGCCCACUACACUCAGUGAAAAUUACUCCUUAUUUAUACCCUUUAUCAUUUCUUUUUCAGAUCAUCUUUCUCUGCCUCUGAAUGUUGGAUUUUAUUGAAGCUCAGCAGUGAAAUCACUUGUUUUCUAAAUGAGUUCCUAUUUCUAGGCAACGUCAUUCAUUCCUAGGACAUCAUUAUGUUGAUGACUCUGUCUUAUCCCCAGCCUAGACCACUGAACACAAAUAAUCAACCAUUAAUUUAAACUUUCUAUUUGAUGUCCAAAGAAACCUCAGACUCAACUUUUCCAAAAUGGAGUUAUUAUUUGGAUUAUUCUUCCAACUCCAAAUUUACUCCCACUUAUGUAUAUUCUAUCUAAAAACUGUAUAUAGUAACAGUCAAAUAUCCAUCAAGUUUUCAGGUUAUAAACUUAAGAGUUAAUAAUAUUUUUAUUUAAUUCAAUUAGUAAUCAUUAAUAUAUUCUGUCAAUUUUAUUUACUAAUUCCAUCAAUUUUAGCCAGAUUUUAAAUAAGAUUUCUAUAUCUAAACUGUAAUCUUCUAAGUGGAAUUAUUGCAAUUCUUUAUCUUUCUAUUUUCAUUCAAAUAUUGGCUUGUGUUCCAUUUCCCACAUUUUAGCAGUGUGAUAUUUUAAAAUGUGCAGUUGAUCAAUGAUGGGUUUCUCAGUGGGUGUAAAUAUUUUAUGAGAGUAGGAACCAUAAAUGUUUUCACCCAGGAGUUUUUCUUAGAAUAGUACCUAAUGAAAAGACCAAACCCAUUCAUUUUUUUUUUCCAGUAGAAUCUCUACGUAUUUUCUUUAUGACAAAUACUGUUCAAGUCACUGGUUAAAAACAGAAAUAAACCAUGGCCUCAGUUUUCAAGGAAGCUUCCAUGCUUAGUGCAGUAGUAAGACUGUAGACAUUACAUACGUUGCAGUACAGAAAGACUAACCAACCUUCAAAGGCUUCAUUGAAUGGUGCCAUCUGCUGUGGGCUUCCUCAUUCUAACCAAAGGUCUAUUCAACUAUUCUAGUCAGCUCCAAAUAAUUUUGGCCCUUUUAUAAAUUAGACUGAGCCAAGUGAGUCUUUUCAUUGAUUUCUAGAGUUAUUCAAAAGUGGGAAUUUAUGCAAAACAACAAAAUAUGUAGGAACAAAUUGAUUGGACUAAAUAAAUCUCUUCUAUCUUGGUUUCCAAUGUAUGGUAAACUCAUAUCUCGCCCACAUGGACACUGUUGGUAUAUCUUCUUUUAAUGGGUCCAUAGUUGUAGGUCUAUACAUAUGGCUGAUGCAGCUAAAUCUUUAAGAUACUAGUUUUCAAACUGUAGUGGGCAUCAGAAUCACCUAGUUUGCUGGUCCCUAUCACAAUAUACCUAGUUAAUUAGGUUGGGGAAGUGAACUAUAAUUUGAAUUUCUAAAAAGGCCCCCAGUGAUGCAGGCAAACCACACUUUGAGAACGACUGGUUUAAAUCACAAAAACAAAAAACUUUGGACCUAUAGGAACAUAUUAUGUUUUCCCAACCUUCCAGUUUUGGCAUAAAGGGCAUGUUGACAUUCCUUAGGAUUUUUUUAGCUUUAUCAUUGUUAGGAGUCUCAUCUACUACUUUCAACCUAAGACUCCAAAUAUAUCUAAUGGGAAUGGAAACACAUAGAGGGGGUCUAAUUUCCCAAAACUCCAGAAAAAGUCAUGAAACAUCCCUUUCAUUUUAGAUUUCCUGAAAUGCAUUGGGAUACUCAAUUGAUCAGCCUAAUACUAAUCAACUCAUUCUUUCUAAUAUAUAUAUAUAUAUAUAUAUAUGUAUAUAUAUAUAUACAUACACAUUCACACAUACACACACACACUCACACACACAUACAUAGUCACAAACAUAAAUGCUGGCAAUAAUGAUAGGAGAGAAAAAUCGGAAUUGUAGUCUUUCUUAUUCCCAAACUGAUUACUAAAAGUGAAAGAAUAAAAUAUAAUAAACUCAAAUGCAUGAGCAGAUGGAGAAAUAUGAGAUCAUAUAACUGGAGGGGCAAAUAAAAACAACAAUGAACCGUUAAGACACUAUAUUUAAACCAUAGAUAAUAAAUAUUGAGGGAUAAAUUGUUCAAAAUACAGACAAAGAUUGUCAGAUUGAUAAAAAAUAAGCCUAUAUACAUGUAGCUUAAAAAUAUUUCUUUUAUAUCAGAAUCUAGAAAGGUUGAAAUAAAAAAUGAUGUGAAAAAAUCAUGUAAACACUAAUACAAAUUUUGUCAUUUAUAUCAACAUUGGACAGAUAGAAAAUAAUACCAGAAAAAGGAGGCCAUUUGAGAAACAUAAUUGUGAUUUAUAAUCCAGGCAGAUUAAUCUUCCAAACUUGUUUGCCCCUAAUAGCGUAUUCUUAAAAAUAUAUAAAGCAAAGACUGAUGGAGUUACAAGGAGAGACAAACUCAUAAUCAUAAUAAAAUUUUAAUAGACUAGGGACGUCUGGGUGGCUCAGCGGUUGAGCGUCUGCCUUUGGCUCAGGGCAUGAUCCUGGAGUCAUGGGAUUGAGUCCUGCGUUGGGCUCCCCGUAUGGAGCCUGCUUCUCCGUCUGCCCGUGUCUCUGCCUCUCUCUCUCUCUCUCUCUCUGUGUCUCUCAUGAAUAAAUAAAUAAUAUCUUUUAAAAAUUUUAAUAGACUUAUCUUAUAAAUUAAUGGAACAAACAGACAGGAAGGAUACUGGAGAUUUGAUCAAUACAUAUAACAAAUCGAGAUAUAUGCCAUUAAAACUGAGCAAAACUCAUUCAAGGGGAACCAUAACUGAAUUGGCCACUUUCAGGGCAUAAAGCCAAUCUCAAUAGUUUUCAAAGGAGAUGUGUUCUAGUUAGUAUAAUCUCUACCCACAAUAGAAUUAUAUUAGAAGUUAGAACAACAAUAUAAGUAGAAAAUAAAAGUAUAUUUCAGGGGCGCCUUGGUGGCUCAGUUGGUUAAGCAUCUGCUUUCAGUUCAGGUCAUGAACUGAGGAUGCUGGAUCAAGCCACGUAUCAAGCUCCCUGUGAGCCUGUUUUUCCCUCUCCCUGUGCCAUUCCACCUGCUUGUGCUCUCCCACUCUCUCUCUCUCUCUGUGUCAAAUAAAUAAAUAAAAAAUUUAAAAAAGUAUAUUCCAAGAUUAAAGUAUUUAUUUCAAACUUAUACAUGGUUCAAGAAAGAUAUAAAAUUAGAAAAAUGCAGAAAAUUAAAAAAAAAACACUAAUCUUCAGGGGAAAAAGAAAAAUAAGAAAGAGAAUUAUUAUCGCAGAAAAUAAAAUAAGACAAAUCCUUAAUUAAACAGAUUAAAAUUUAAGAAAGGUAAUUCAUAAAAGAGAAUUGCAGGGUUUAAGUGCUCCAUCACACUGUGGGCUCUAUUUGAGACCCAGAAUUUUCUCUUAUGAAUUGUUGCAAGACAACUGCUUUUUUAAAAAAUAUUUUAUUUAUUUAUUUAUUUAUUUAUUUAUUUAUUUAUUUAUUUAUGAGAGAAUUAGAGAGAGAGGGAGAGAAAGAGAGCGUGCAGGAGCUGGGGGAGGAGCAGAGGCAGAGGGAGAAGUCGACUUAACGCUGAGCAGGACACCUGACACAGGGCUCCAUUCCAGGUAAGUCCAAGGCCGACCUUAACCAACAAAGCCAUCAAGGCGCCCAGAAAUUCUGCUUUUUCUACUCAACUCAGCAGGACCUCCUUAGCCCUCAAAAUAUCACAACAAAGUCAUCAUCUUCUUAGCAAAGUCAUAACAUUGUGGCAAUGACAGGUUUCAGGUAACACA